Molecule: ribosomal RNA, 450 nt
Filed under: uncultured bacterium
Lineage: Bacteria
Description: partial 16S ribosomal RNA
Rfam family: Bacterial small subunit ribosomal RNA
Source: RNAcentral
GUGGGGAAUUUUGCGCAAUGGGGGAAACCCUGACGCAGCAACGCCGCGUGAGUGAUGAAGGCCUUCGGGUCGUAAAGCUCUGUCAGAGGGGAAGAAAUGCAGGGGUGCUAAUAUCAUCUUUGCUUGACGGUACCCUCAAAGGAAGCACCGGCCAACUACGUGCCAGCAGCCGCGGUAAUACGUAGGGGGCGAGCGUUAUCCGGAUUUAUUGGGCGUAAAGCGUGUGUAGGCGGUUUAUUAAGUCAGGCGUAAAAGAUCACAGCUCAACUGUGUAGGGCGUUUGAAACUGGUAGACUUGAAUACGGUAGAGGCAGGUGGAAUUCCAUGUGUAGCGGUGGAAUGCGUAGAUAUAUGGAGGAACACCAAUGGCGAAGGCAACCUGCUGGGCCGGAAUUGACGCUGAGACACGAAAGCGUGGGGAGCAAACAGGAUUAGAUACCCUUGUAGUCC